RNAcentral lists this ribosomal RNA (433 nucleotides) under uncultured bacterium. Its description in RNAcentral is "partial 16S ribosomal RNA". It matches the Rfam family "Bacterial small subunit ribosomal RNA", at positions 29 to 507 of the family's 1533-position model. The record is from RNAcentral.
AACGAACGCUGGCGGCAGGCCUAACACAUGCAAGUCGAGCGAGGACUUCGGUUCUAGCGGCGGACGGGUGAGUAACGCGUGGGAAUGUGCCCUUCUCUACGGAAUAGCCCUGGGAAACUGGGAGUAAUACCGUAUACGCCCUAUUGGGGAAAGAUUUAUCGGAGAAGGAUCAGCCCGCGUUGGAUUAGGUAGUUGGUGGGGUAAUGGCCUACCAAGCCGACGAUCCAUAGCUGGUUUGAGAGGAUGAUCAGCCACACUGGGACUGAGACACGACCCAGACUCCUACGGGAGGCAGCAGUGGGGAAUCUUAGACAAUGGGGGCAACCCUGAUCUAGCCAUGCCGCGUGAGUGAUGAAGGCCUUAGGGUUGUAAAGCUCUUUCAGCUGGGAAGAUAAUGACGGUACCAGCAGAAGAAGCCCCGGCUAACUCCGUG